AGUGAACGCUGGCGGUAGGCCUAACACAUGCAAGUCGAACGGCAGCACAGUAAGAGCUUGCUCUUACGGGUGGCGAGUGGCGGACGGGUGAGGAAUACAUCGGAAUCUACUUUUUCGUGUGGGUUAACGUAGGGAAACUUACGCUCAUACCGCAUACGACCCUCCGUUGAAAGCAGGGGAUCUUCUGACCUUGCGCGAUUGGAUGAGCCGAUGUCGGAUUAGCUAGUUGGCGGGGUAAUGGCCCACCAAGGCGGCGAUCCGUAGCUGGUGUGAGAGAAUGGUCGGCCACACUGGAAGUGAGACAGCGUCAAGAGUACUAAGGGAGGCAGCAGUGUGGAAUGGUAGACAGUGGGCGCGAGUAUGAUCCAGUGAGAGCGCGUGGGUGAAAGAGGCGUUGGGGUUGUGAAGACGGUUUGCGGGGAGAGAACAGCAGUAGGUUAAUACGCAGCGGUUCUGACGGUACUGAAUGAAGAAGCACCGGCUAACUUCGUG
This 492-nucleotide ribosomal RNA is filed under the name uncultured bacterium. RNAcentral describes it as "partial 16S ribosomal RNA". It matches the Rfam family "Bacterial small subunit ribosomal RNA", at positions 30 to 507 of the family's 1533-position model. The record is from RNAcentral.